GCUGAGUCUAUGACAUAGCGA
Molecule: non-coding RNA, 21 nt
Filed under: Arabidopsis thaliana (thale cress)
Lineage: Eukaryota; Viridiplantae; Streptophyta; Magnoliopsida; Brassicales; Brassicaceae
Source: RNAcentral